Molecule: long non-coding RNA, 374 nt
Filed under: Bos taurus (domestic cattle)
Lineage: Eukaryota; Metazoa; Chordata; Mammalia; Artiodactyla; Bovidae
Description: long non-coding RNA NONBTAT026436
Source: RNAcentral
AUGAGACUCAAGGAUGACAAGAAGAAUAAAGAUGCCAGAAAGCUAGCUAAGAAAGACAAAGACCCAGGGAACAAACUUGGCAAGGCCAAAAAGAAGAGGUGGUCCAAAGGCAAAUUUUGGGAUAAGCUCAAUAACCUCAAUUUGUUUGACAGAGCAACGUAUGACAGACUCUAUAAGGAAGUUCCCAACCGCAAGCUUAAAACUGCAGCUGUGGUCUCUGAGAAACAAGAUCUGUAGUUCCUUGGCCAGGGCAGCCCUUCCGGAGCUUCUUAGUAAAGGACUUUUAAAACUGGUUUCAAAGCACAGAGCUCAAACUAACUUAUACCAGAAACACCAAGAGUGGAGAUGCCUCAACUGCUGGUGAAGAUCUAUAA